GAUGAAGAACGCAGCGAAAUGCGAUACGUAAUGUGAAUUGCAGAAUUCAGUGAAUCAUCGAGUCUUUGAACGCACAUUGCGCCCCCUGGUAUUCCGGGGGGCAUGCCUGUCCGAGCGUCAUUGCUGCCCUCAAGCACGGCUUGUGUGUUGGGCCUCCGUCCUCCUCCCGGGGGACGGGCCCGAAAGGCAGCGGCGGCACCGCGUCCGGUCCUCGAGCGUAUGGGGCUUCGUCACCCGCUCUUGUAGGCCCGGCCGGCGCUUGCCGACACCUCAAUCUUUUUUCCAGGUUGACCUCGGAUCAGGUAGGGAUACCCGCUGAACUUAAGCAUAUCAAUAAGCGGAGGA
This 345-nucleotide unclassified non-coding RNA is filed under the name soil metagenome. Its description in RNAcentral is "partial contains 5.8S ribosomal RNA, internal transcribed spacer 2, and large subunit ribosomal RNA". The stretch from base 1 to 120 matches the Rfam family "5.8S ribosomal RNA", at positions 35 to 154 of the family's 154-position model. The record is from RNAcentral.